RNAcentral lists this ribosomal RNA (300 nucleotides) under uncultured Alteromonas sp. Its description in RNAcentral is "bacterial SSU rRNA". It matches the Rfam family "Bacterial small subunit ribosomal RNA", at positions 496 to 795 of the family's 1533-position model. The record is from RNAcentral. Lineage: Bacteria; Pseudomonadati; Pseudomonadota; Gammaproteobacteria; Alteromonadales; Alteromonadaceae.
GUAAACUUGGGGCCAGCUGGGGGGGUGAGAGGAAGGAUGUAAGAGUUAUCCGGAUGCAUUGUGUUUAAAGGGUGCGUAGGCGGACUUGUAAGUCAGUGGUGAAAUCUCUUUGCUUAACAAAGAAACUGCCAUUGAUACUGCUAGUCUAGAGUAUAGAUGACGUUGGCGGAAUAUGACAUGUAGUGGUGAAAUACUUAGAUAUGUCAUAGAACACCGAUUGCGAAGGCAGCUAACGAAACUAUAACUGACGCUGAGGCACGAAAGUGCGGGGAUCAAACAGGAUUAGAUACCCGAGUAGUC